Molecule: ribosomal RNA, 497 nt
Filed under: uncultured bacterium
Lineage: Bacteria
Description: partial 16S ribosomal RNA
Rfam family: Bacterial small subunit ribosomal RNA
Source: RNAcentral
UCUUCCCUCUGGCGGCGUGCCUAAUACAUGCAAGUCGAGCGAACAGACGAGGAGCUUGCUCCUCUGACGUUAGCGGCGGACGGGUGAGUAACACGUGGAUAACCUACCUAUAAGACUGGGAUAACUUCGGGAAACCGGAGCUAAUACCGGAUAAUAUAUUGAACCGCAUGGUUCAAUAGUGAAAGACGGUUUUGCUGUCACUUAUAGAUGGAUCCGCGCCGCAUUAGCUAGUUGGUAAGGUAACGGCUUACCAAGGCAACGAUGCGUAGCCGACCUGAGAGGGUGAUCCGGCACACUGGGACUGAGGACCGGUGCCGGCUUCUACGGGAGGCAGCAGUAGGGAAUCUUCCGCAAUGGGCGAAAGCCUGACGGAGCAACGCCGCGUGAGUGAUGAAGGUCUUCGGAUCGUAAAACUCUGUUAUUAGGGAAGAACAAAUGUGUAAGUAACUAUGCACGUCUUGACGGUACCUAAUCAGAAAGCCACGGCUAACUACGUG